GGGCGCGUAGCUCAGUGGAAGAGCACCCGGCUUACAACCGGGGGGUCACAGGUUCGAACCCUGUCGUGCCCA
Molecule: transfer RNA, 72 nt
Filed under: Acidothermus cellulolyticus
Lineage: Bacteria; Bacillati; Actinomycetota; Actinomycetes; Acidothermales; Acidothermaceae
Also listed under: 1 other name
Description: tRNA-Val
Rfam family: tRNA
About the family: Transfer RNA (tRNA) molecules are approximately 80 nucleotides in length. Their secondary structure includes four short double-helical elements and three loops (D, anti-codon, and T loops).
Source: RNAcentral